UACGGAGGGUGCAAGCGUUGUUCGGAAUCACUGGGCUUAAAGCGCGUGUAGGCGGAGUGUCAGGUGCUGUGUGAAAUCCCCGGGCUCAACCCGGGAACUGCGCGGCAAACCGGCAUUCUUGAGGCAAGUAGAGGUGACUGGAACGACCGGUGGAGCGGUGAAAUGCGUAGAUAUCGGUUGGAACGCCAGAGGCGAAAGCGGGUCACUGGGCUUGUCCUGACGCUGAGACGCGAAAGCGUGGGGAGCAAACAGG
RNAcentral lists this ribosomal RNA (253 nucleotides) under uncultured bacterium. Its description in RNAcentral is "partial 16S ribosomal RNA". It matches the Rfam family "Bacterial small subunit ribosomal RNA", at positions 524 to 776 of the family's 1533-position model. The record is from RNAcentral.